This 75-nucleotide transfer RNA is filed under the name Bacillota bacterium. RNAcentral's name for it is "Firmicutes bacterium (gut metagenome) tRNA-Gln". It matches the Rfam family "tRNA". From Rfam's summary of the family: Transfer RNA (tRNA) molecules are approximately 80 nucleotides in length. Lineage: Bacteria; Bacillati; Bacillota. RNAcentral also lists the same sequence under 11 other names. The record is from RNAcentral.
UGGGGUGUCGCCAAGCGGUAAGGCAACGGACUCUGACUCCGUCAUUCGUUGGUUCGAAUCCAGCUACCCCAGCCA